RNAcentral lists this ribosomal RNA (497 nucleotides) under uncultured bacterium. RNAcentral describes it as "partial 16S ribosomal RNA". It matches the Rfam family "Bacterial small subunit ribosomal RNA", at positions 28 to 507 of the family's 1533-position model. The record is from RNAcentral.
GACGAACGCUGGCGGCGUGCCUAAUACAUGCAAGUUGAGCGCUUAAGGUUGGUACUUGUACCAACUGGAUGAGCAGCGAACGGGUGAGUAACGCGUGGGGAAUCUGCCUUUGAGCGGGGGACAACAUUUGGAAACGAAUGCUAAUACCGCAUAAAAACUUUAAACACAAGUUUUAAGUUUGAAAGAUGCAAUUGCAUCACUCAAAGAUGAUCCCGCGUUGUAUUAGCUAGUUGGUGAGGUAAAGGCUCACCAAGGCGAUGAUACAUAGCCGACCUGAGAGGGUGAUCGGCCACAUUGGGACUGAGACACGGCCCAAACUCCUACGGGAGGCAGCAGGAGGGAAUCUUCGGCAAUGGACGAAAGUCUGAACGAGCAACGCCGCGUGAGUGAAGAAGGGUUUCGGAUCGGAAAACUCUGUUGGUAGGGAAGAACGUUGGUGAGGGUGGAAAGCUCAUCAAGUGACGGUAACUACCCAGAAAGGAACGGCUAACUACGUG